AGCAGCCGCGGUAAUUCCAGCUCCAAUAGCGUAUAUUAAAGUUGUUGCAGUUAAAAAGCUCGUAGUUGAAUUUCGGGGUUAGUAGGUUGGUCAUGCCUCUGGUAUGUACUGGUCUCACUGAUUCCUCCUUCCUGAUGAACCUUAAUGCCAUUAAUUUGGUGUUUUGGGGAAUUUGGACUGUUACUUUGAAAAAUUAGAGUGUUUAAAGCAAGCUAACGCUUGAAUACAUUAGCAUGGAAUAAUGAAAUAGGACGUUCGAUCCUAUUUUGUUGGUUUCUAGGAUUGACGUAAUGAUUAAUAGGGAUAGUUGGGGGCAUUAGUAUUCAAUUGUCAGAGGUGAAAUUCUUGGAUUUAUUGAAGACUAACUACUGCGAAAGCAUUUGCCAAGGAUGUUUUCAUUAAUCAAGAACGAAAGUUAGGGGAUCGAAGACGAUCAGAUACCGUCGUAGUCUUAACCAUAAACUAUGCCGACUAGGGAUCGGAUGAUGUUAAUUUUUAAUGACUCAUUCGG
This 511-nucleotide unclassified non-coding RNA is filed under the name uncultured Glomus. RNAcentral's name for it is "SSU rRNA". It matches the Rfam family "Eukaryotic small subunit ribosomal RNA", at positions 569 to 1083 of the family's 1831-position model. Lineage: Eukaryota; Fungi; Glomeromycota; Glomeromycetes; Glomerales; Glomeraceae. The record is from RNAcentral.